AAUACCCACUGGGGGAGCCUCUGACGUUGAGGCUGAGAUAAGGAAAUACAUUCCUUGACCCUUGGAACCUGAUCGGCAUGCGGUUAGCAUGCUUCUGGAUGAUACCAGCGUAGGGAAGUGGACGAGCGCAGAG
Molecule: non-coding RNA, 133 nt
Filed under: Paenibacillus sp.
Lineage: Bacteria; Bacillati; Bacillota; Bacilli; Caryophanales; Paenibacillaceae
Also listed under: 1 other name
Description: TPP sequence
Rfam family: TPP riboswitch aptamer (THI element)
About the family: Vitamin B(1) in its active form thiamin pyrophosphate (TPP) is an essential coenzyme that is synthesised by coupling of pyrimidine and thiazole moieties in bacteria. The previously detected thiamin-regulatory element, thi box was extended, resulting in a new, highly conserved RNA secondary structure, the THI element, which is widely distributed in eubacteria and also occurs in some archaea.
Source: RNAcentral